This 359-nucleotide ribosomal RNA is filed under the name uncultured bacterium. RNAcentral's name for it is "partial 16S ribosomal RNA". It matches the Rfam family "Bacterial small subunit ribosomal RNA", at positions 338 to 695 of the family's 1533-position model. The record is from RNAcentral.
GCUACGGGGGGCAGCAGUGAGGAAUAGUGGUCAAUGGCCGGAAGGCUGAACCAGCCAAGCCGCGUGAAGGACGAAGGUGCCAAGCAUUGUAAACUUCUUUUGUCAAGGGACAAAAUCAGGCUCGAGAGCCUGACCGAGGGUACUUGAAGAAAAAGCAUCGGUUAACUCCGUGCCAGCAGCCGCGGUAAUACGGAGGAUGCGUGCGUUAUCCGGAUUUAUUGGGUUUAAAGGGUGCGUAGGCGGACUGGUAAGUCCGCGGUAAAAGCCCGGGGCUCAGCCCCGGCGCGCCGUUGAAACUGGCUGUCUUGAGCUGUCGAGAGGUAUGCGGAAUGCGCCGUGUAGCCGUGCAAUGCUUAGAU